AGAAAGUUAGUCUAACUAAGACAGUUGAUUUCGACUCAACAGAUUAUAGUCCCCACCCUAUAACUUUCUU
Molecule: transfer RNA, 70 nt
Filed under: Ifrita kowaldi (blue-capped ifrita)
Lineage: Eukaryota; Metazoa; Chordata; Aves; Passeriformes; Cinclosomatidae
Description: tRNA-Arg
Source: RNAcentral